RNAcentral lists this unclassified non-coding RNA (398 nucleotides) under soil metagenome. RNAcentral describes it as "partial contains 5.8S ribosomal RNA, internal transcribed spacer 2, and large subunit ribosomal RNA". The stretch from base 3 to 120 matches the Rfam family "5.8S ribosomal RNA", at positions 39 to 154 of the family's 154-position model. The record is from RNAcentral.
GAAAGAACGUAGCGAAAUGCGAUACUUGGUGUGAAUUGCAGAAUCCCGUGAACCAUCGAGUCUUUGAACGCAAGUUGCGCCUCAAGCCAUUAGGUUGAGGGCACGUCUGCCUGGGCGUCACAUAUCGUUGCCUGAUGCCAGUUUCCUCGUGAUGGGUGACUGUGCAGGGCGAAUGAUGGCUUCCCGUGAGCAUUGUUGCCUCAUGGUUGGUUGAAAAUUGAGUCCUUGGUAGGGAGCGCCGUGAUAGAUGGUGGUUGAGUGACGAACGAGACCCAAUCAUGUGAGACCCCUACCGAAUUUGGCCUUCAUGACCCACAUGCGUCUUUGGAACGCUCAUGACGAGACCUCAGGUCAGGCGGGGCUACCCGCUGAGUUUAAGCAUAUCAAUAAGCGGAGGA